GCUACCUAGUGUCCUCAGGCUGCAGAAGUGGUGACUGGCAGACAUGGCUCAAUUUGUCCAGGUCCUGGCUGAAAUAGGUGACUUUGGUCGCUUCCAGAUAUGGCUAUGGAUCCUGCUGUGUGUUCCCAACUUCCUGAGUGCCUUCUACUUUUUUGCCCAUGUCUUUAUGGUCCUGGAUGAGCCCCACCACUGUGCAGUGGCCUGGGUGAAGAACCAGACUUUCAACCUGAGUGCUGCUGAACAGCUGGCACUGAGCGUGCCCCUGGACACUGCAGGCCACCCGGAUCCCUGCCUCAUGUUCCGGCCACCCCCUGCCAAUGCCAGCCUGCAGGACAUCCUCAGCCACCGCUUCAAUGCGACGCAGCCUUGUGAUCUGGGCUGGGAAUAUCCUGAGGACAGGCUCCCCUCCCUAAAGAAUGAGUUCGACCUGGUUUGUGAUCGGAAGCACCUGAAGGACACCUCGCAGUCAGCGUUCAUGGCCGGGCUCCUUGCUGGCAGCCUCAUGUUUGGGCCCCUCUGCGACCGGAUCGGCCGCAAGGCCACCAUCCUGGCGCAGCUUCUCCUCUUCUCUGCCGUCGGCCUGGCCACCGCCUUUGUGCCCAGCUUCGAGCUCUACAUAGCCCUGCGCUUCGCUGUGGCCACCGCCGUCGCCGGGUUUACCUUCAGCAAUGUCACCCUGCUGACAGAGUGGGUGGGGCCCUCGUGGACAACGAAGGCCGUGGUCCUGUCCCACUGCAGCUUCUCCUUCGGGCAGAUGGCGCUCGCGGGACUCGCCUACUAUCUCCGCAGCUGGAGACUCCUCCAGAUGGCCGGCACCGCGCCUGGCUUCCUGCUCUUCUUCUACUUCUGGGUUCUGCCAGAGUCUGCACGGUGGCUCCUGACCCAGGGGAGGAUGGAUGAGGCGAAACAGCUGAUCCGGAAGGCAGCCUCGGUCAACAGGCGGAAACUCUCCCCAGAGCUCCUGAGCCAGCUGGUCCCAGAGAGGACAGGCCCCUCAGGGAAUGUCCUGGAUCUGUUCAGACACCCCCAGCUCCGGAAGGUGACGCUGAUUCUCUUCUGUGUCUGGUUUGUGGACAGUGUGGGGUACUUCGGGCUGAGCCUCCAGGUGGGGGACUUCGGCCUGGACAUCUACCUGACGCAGCUCAUCUUUGGAGCUGUUGAGGUGCCUGCUCGUGCUUCCAGCAUCCUCAUGAUGGAAAAGUUUGGCCGCAAGUGGAGCCAGCUGGGGACCUUGGUCUUGGGUGGCCUUAUGUGUAUCAUCAUCAUCUUCAUCCCAGCAGAUCUGCCCGUGGUGGUCACCGUGCUGGCUGUGGUGGGGAAGAUGGCCACAUCGGCCGCCUUUACCGUCUCCUACGUGUACUCUGCUGAGCUCUUCCCCACCGUCCUCCGACAGGCAUGGGGCUGGUAGGCAUCUUCUCUCGGCUUGGGGGCAUCGCCACACCACUGGUGAUCCUGCUGGGAGGGUACUAUGCUGCCCUCCCCAUGCUCAUCUACGGCAGCCUCCCCAUCGUGGCCGGCCUGCUCUGUGCCCUGCUGUCAGAGACGCGUGGCCAGGCCCUGAAAGACACCAUCCAGGACCUGGACCAGGAGCCCCACCCACGGUCCCCCAGAUCAGCGCCCUCAGAGAAGGAAACGGAAGCCACAGGAAGAACUUCUAGCCUGGGAGCGGCCUUAGUGAGCAGCACAUACUUCUGACUGAGGUCUCUAGGAGCUGGACCAUCAGCAGCAGGGAGCUGCCUAAACACCCCCCUUGGAUAUGGCCAGGACCCAUGGCGACACAGCGCAAGACCAGCCUUGCUAUGGAGGCAGUACACCACAACCCGGCCCAUGACUGUCACCUGCCGCCGAGCCCAGUCCCAGAAGUGCCUGGGACAGGACCUCCCGGCCUCCUUCCCCUUUCUCCUCUCCAGAGCUCCGCCCCCGAUACCCUUCUGGGAAGGAUCUUGGGUUUUGCUUGUCCUCCCACGGUCUUCACAGGGCAGGGCUCUCUUGAUCUCCUCAAUCUGGCGUCCCCUGCCCUCAAAACACAGUAAAGCUCAGAGCAGAACACAUGGUAAGGCCUUUUCAAGUUGUGGGAACAGGAGGCGAGAGAAAACAAAUGUGAAGCUGUGGACU
Non-coding RNA from Saimiri boliviensis boliviensis (Bolivian squirrel monkey), 2115 nucleotides. NCBI's taxonomy places the organism in Eukaryota, Metazoa, Chordata, Mammalia, Primates, Cebidae. The record is from RefSeq and is a predicted model, not a curated record.